GAGAACAGACUGCCUGAGUUCAAAUCCUAACUCUGCCAUUUCCCAGCUGUGUGGCUUUGGGCAAGUUAUUUAACCUCUCUAUGCCUCAACUUCUUCAUGUAAAAUGGCAGUAAUAAUAAUACGAAUGCCACAGAGCUGUGGAUGAAAUGAGCCCAUUCCGGUCUGGCUUCUUUAACCAGGAAGAUGUGAGCUGAGAGCUGUGGAGUAGAUGUCUUCACCAGAUGAGUACACAGAGAAGUAGAGAAUGUGUAUCUGCAGAGUAGGAUGAAGCAGAGACAAGUCUUGUGAAUAAGGUAUUCAGGAAGCACAGCUGUCUUUUGUUCCUGAAGCCGUAUCAGGAUUCAGCAGGAAAGAGCACCAAGAUCACUUGGCAAUGUUUAUCCUGAUCAAGCACGGGCACUGAUGGCAGAUGCAGGACAAAGGACAGAACUCUUAAGUCAUCCCUGUGCUCACCUGAGACAAAUGCAUGUCUGAUUGCUUCCACUGAUGUAAAAAUGCAGAUUUGCUGAGUUAGACGAAGAUGAUGGCAGAGAGCAGUCUUCAGCCUGAGCCCCAUUCCUAGGCAUUUCAGCUGCUCCUAUUUCUUUCUUUUUGGACUCUUCUGGAAAAACAGAGAAAUCAAACAGGAAGCUGCUGCUGGGGAGUUCUGUGUUGGAUAGGAUAGUGUGGCCAGGCUCACUGUUCUACUACCUCAAACCCCAAGGUUUCAGCAUGACUCAGGGGGUGCAAACUCCAAAAGGUCUAACUUGGAAUGUGACUUAGGAACUCUGGCCAGUCACCCUUGCUCAGAUCUGAAACUGGGAAAAUUUCAAAACCCAAAACCUUGCAUAAUCAGAAAGAAUAAAUCCCUAUAAGGAAGAGAAACACAAUGGAAAAUUCCACUGGAGAUAUCUGAAAUUGCCUGACUCUUUGUGUCAGCAAUUGGGAGGUCAGAUGGGGUCAGAUGGCCACAAAGAGUACACAGUUGGACAAGAUCUAUCCUUCUAGGAAAUGAAUUCCUGGAGGGUACUUCUGGUCAUUAAAAGUUGCUUGAAAACUGUAGAAACUAA
Molecule: long non-coding RNA, 1049 nt
Organism: Pan troglodytes (chimpanzee)
Lineage: Eukaryota; Metazoa; Chordata; Mammalia; Primates; Hominidae
Exons: 6
Source: RefSeq, a predicted model, not a curated record